CAAUAGCGUAUAUUAAAGUUGUUGCAGUUAAAAAGCUCGUAGUUGGAUUUCUGGUGAGAGUACGGGUCGGCCUUAACGGGUUGCACUGUUGUUACGUCUCGCCGUUUCCGGGGGAAUGGGUUCGCUAUUAGGUUAGUGGGCUCGGGAACCUGGUCGUUUACUGUGAAAAAAUUAGAGUGUUCAAAGCAGGCCUUUGCUGUGAAUACAUUAGCAUGGAAUAAUAAGAUAGGACUGUAGUGCUAUUUUGUUGGUUUGCGUACUAUGGUAAUGAUUAAUAGGGAUAGUUGGGGGUAUUCAUAUUCAAUUGUCAGAGGUGAAAUUCUUGGAUUUAUGGAAGAUGAACUACUGCGAAAGCAUUUACCAAGGAUGUUUNCAUUAA
RNAcentral lists this ribosomal RNA (379 nucleotides) under uncultured eukaryote. RNAcentral describes it as "partial 18S ribosomal RNA". It matches the Rfam family "Eukaryotic small subunit ribosomal RNA", at positions 592 to 976 of the family's 1831-position model. The record is from RNAcentral.